RNAcentral lists this long non-coding RNA (2515 nucleotides) under Gallus gallus (chicken). RNAcentral describes it as "long non-coding RNA NONGGAT009344". The record is from RNAcentral. Lineage: Eukaryota; Metazoa; Chordata; Aves; Galliformes; Phasianidae.
AAAAUAUUCUUUUUCUAAAAAGUUUUUUUCCAUAGAAGUGUGUUUUGAACCAAUUUCCUAGCCAACACUGUUGCAGAGACAGGUGCCGUUUUUGCAUUCUGUUGUUGAAGCUGGUUUCUACUUGUGAAACUCCAAAACCAAUUUUACAAAUGUAUAUAACUUUUCUUAAAAGUUUGGGUAGACUGUCAGCGUGGUAAUGGCUCUCUACAGGUAUUACUGCAAAUAGCUUCGCUAUCAUCGGUUGACGAGCAAUUGUCUGUUGGAUUCAGCUGCUAGUAAGGAAUGCCAACUACUUGCCUGUGAGGUUUCCAAAAGCAUCAUUAAAAUAUCUGCCUGUUUUUGCUGUUUGGUUAACUGGUUCUUCUAGUGCUGCAGGUCCCGCGGUGGCUCCUUUUGUGUUGGUGCACAAGGAAAUGGGGAAGGAGCCUCAGCACAACUGUGGAAACAGUGUCUGAUGCUUCUUGGGAACUUGUAGAAAGCUUGUGAUAGAUCCUGCCAAGGUGACGUUUGCUGUUUAAUUACUGUCCUGUAUUACCUAAGACUGAAAGAAAAAAAACGUCUACAGACCUGAUGUAAAGCAAUUGUUGCUGUUGUAUAAGGCCCAAUGAUGAACUUGCACAAGUUUGCUUUUUUUUUUUCAUGGCUCUCAUUGGUGAGCUCACUCAUUAGAAUGGAUGUGGUUUAAUGGUUAAAUGCUCAAACUCCCUCUAAUAUGAGGAAGUUAAGAAAAUGAGCCUUUGUAGGUUUUACUUAAAAGAUGUAAUUCCCAGCUUUGCAUCUCAAAGACAAUGGUGUGUGCCUGUGCUGUGGUGUAGGCACAGGUAUGCAGCUUGUGCAAUUUCUGACUGCUCCAUGGCAGCAAACUCAGUGUACAGCAGGUUUUGCAGCCCCAGUGGGUACAUCUUAAACUGUAAAAGUUUGUUUCCAAACUGCACUGUUGUCUGAAUUUCAAAUACCUUGUGUAAUUACAGAAAUGUAGUAAUUAAGACCGUUGUGCCAAAACCAUUGGUGGCAAAGUAACUCAUUCCCAGCCUCUCUUCUAAAAUGCUAUUGGUUACAGCUUGGAAGGUGGAACUCCGUGCUUUGCGUGGCAAGAUUUAUUUCAUGCAGGUUCUGACAUCUAUUUAUUGGUGGGGAUGUUGAUUGAGAUUCUGGAAACCACAAAAGCUUCUAAAUGUAUACUCGCUGAGUACUGCAGUGUUGGCCUGUUUUCAUCUGUCUCCAGACCUUUUUCUCCCACCCAUCAGCACCAUCUGCCUUGCAAAACUGCAGCUGCUUGGCAGUAUCUGGCAGAACUGAUAGGUUUAAGCAUGGACACCGAUCUGCGUAUUGAAGCGGAACAGGGAUUCACGGGCUGUCCCCCAGCCUAUGAGAGGGCCUGACCUGGACUUUCCAAAGCUGGAUGGAUGUAACAGCUGGUCCUGGCGUGCUUACUGUUGUGCAUGGGUUGGAAAUAGUGAACUCUUCAGUUCGUGUCCCACUAUGAAGUUGGCGUUACUUUAAGGUAGAAUGAAGCCAUUGUGAAAACAUUCCAAGCGUGCUUAGUCCUUCCUCUUUGAGGACACUGUCACCUCCACUAGGUUUAGUGCUGUGCUUUAAGAUGUUGGUGAGAAUAAGUAUUGGCUAAUUCAAAUAGUUGGUAUAAAUGGUUGUGUAGCAGAAUGACUGAUUUUUUGAGAUAGCAUUUCCUGUAAAAGUAAUUAAGCAUGGGUUGAUGGUGCACUUUGUAUACAGUAAUCUGGCAUGCAUGCUGGUAAACUACUUCCUACACUUCAGAGGCACCACAAGCCUUUUUAUCCAAUUGCUGGUUAUGUAAAAUACAUGCAGAAUGUUAAUGCAGUGUUGUUAUGGUAAAUGUGUGAACAGUGUUACUAAUUGAUAUAACUGAUAACAGAUUACAUGUGCCUGACAUUCUUAUACCACACAGUAUGUUUAGGUUUUAACUAAUAUGGACUUCGGUGGAAUAGUCUUAGAUAUUUCAAGCCUUUGUUUUACUUACACAAUGGUGCUCUAUUUGUGUUUUUUCUCCUUUUUCUUUUUUUUAAAGAAGGAAGAAAUAAAAGCAUCUGAACACUUGUAGUACAUAUUACAUCCAAAGGAGUCCAACACAAAAAUGCUUCUAACCAUCUCGGUUUUAAUUUGCCUUCAGUUCCUGGCCUUUCUCAUCAGCUCGGUUCCUUCUGUCAAUUGUUGCUGACUACUUUGGAUAACUGCGGUCAUGUUACCAAUUACGAAGUGAUUCUGCACUGCCUUUGGAUCGUGUAUGUAUACAGAAACAGUCUUAAAGCUUUUAUUUAAGCUAUUGAAAAAACCAGGGACUUGUGCCAUUUGUUCUUUAACAGUGCUGUUGUAAAAAGACUUCCCUGUGAAAAAAACUCACUUGCUAUGAACUCUGUUUAUAGCUUCUUUUUUUCCCCCACAAUGGAUCUUUUCUUUGUAUUUGUACAGUGGCUCAGUGAAAGAUGUUGCCAUGAGUUGAUAUUGUAACCAAUAAACAAGUGCUUUUAACCAGAUA